This 1689-nucleotide ribosomal RNA is filed under the name Acrumena massiliensis. RNAcentral's name for it is "eukaryotic LSU rRNA". It matches the Rfam family "Eukaryotic large subunit ribosomal RNA", at positions 31 to 1497 of the family's 3401-position model. Lineage: Eukaryota; Metazoa; Platyhelminthes; Rhabdocoela; Cicerinidae. The record is from RNAcentral.
AACUUAAGCAUAUCAAUAAGCGGAGGAAAAGAAACUAACAAGGAUUCCCUUAGUAGCGGCGAGCGAAGAGGGAUUAGCCCAGAACCGAAUCCUAUGAGCCUCUGGCUUAUAGGAAAUGUGGUGUUUGGUGCACUGUCAAGGUACACUGGUGUUGUUCUAAGUCCACAUGAUUGUGGCUAAGAGCCCAGAGAGGGUGUAAGGCCCGUAAGAACGACGCAGUGUGCUGAUUGCAGUGCUCCUAGAGUAGGGUUGUUUGGGAUUGCAGCCCAAAGUGGGUGGUAACUCCAUCCAAGGCUAAAUACAACACGAGUCCGAUAGCGAACAAGUACCAUGAGGGAAAGUUGAAAAGAACUUUGAAGAGAGAGUUCAAUAGUGCGUGAAACCGUUCAGAGGUAAACGGGCAGAACCGAAGGAAGCGUAGAACAUUUGUAUUUCCAUCGUGGCAUGUGAGGUAAGAGUGAACUCAUUAACCCGAGGCAUUCUCUUUGCGUGUAACUCGUUGGUUGUGCUUUUGUGAUACGUUAACACCACGAUCAGUGGCUAGAAGGGUCUAUCGCUGGGUGUCAGGUAACUUGUGCAUUCUAUGUGCGAGUGUUAUAGACUCUCGGUGUAGCAUCCUUCGAACACUGUCUCGCAGCUGGUUAAUAGUAGUUUGAGAAGCAAGCGCUGGCCUUGCCCGUCGUGACUUUAGCUGGCUCGCAAGAGACUGUUAAUUGGCGACGGGUAUUUGAGCUAGUGCCUCUGCUUCACAGACGAAAAUCAGUGGUGCUCAUGUAGGUAAUCUGCCCGACCCGUCUUGAAACACGGACCAAGGAGUUCAACAUGUGCGCGAGUCAUGGGGUUCUACGAAACCUAAAGGCGCAGUGAAAGUAAAGGCUUGAUUUUUGUCAAGCUAAGGUACGAUCCUGUUACUUGGCGAAAGCUUCAGGCAGGCGCAGUACCAGCUCGUGCCAUGCUUUUUUAAGCGGUGCGAAGCAAGAGCGUACAUGUUGAGACCCGAAAGAUGGUGAACUAUGCCCGCGUAGGUUGAAGCCAGAGGAAACUCUGGUGGAGGACCGUAGCGGUUCUGACGUGCAAAUCGAUCGUCAAACGUGGGUAUAGGGGCGAAAGACUAAUCGAACCAUCUAGUAGCUGGUUCCCUCCGAAGUUUCCCUCAGGAUAGCUAGCACUCAUGAAUGAAACAGUUUUAUCCGGUAAAGCGAAUGAUUAGAAGUAUUGGGGACGAAAUGUCCUCAACUUAUUCUCAAACUUUAAAUGGGUGAGAAGCCUGACUCUCUUGAUUGGAGUCUGGCAUUGAAUGUGAGUGCUCAGUGGGCCAUUUUUGGUAAGCAGAACUGGCGAUGUGGGAUGAACCAAACGUCUGGUUAAAGAGCCUAACACAACGCUCAUGAGAUACCACAAAAGGUGUUGGUUGAUAUAGACAGCAGGACGGUGGCCAUGGAAGUCGGAAUCCGCUAAGGAGUGUGUAACAACUCACCUGCCGAAUCAACCAGCCCUGAAAAUGGAUGGCGCUGGAGCGUUGGUCUUAUACCAGACCGGUACCAUAAGCUGCAUAAUGGAAAUGGUGCCGAGUAGGAGGGCGAUGUGGUGAGCAUAGAAGCUUUAGUCGUGAGACUGAGUGGAGCCGCCACAUGUGCAGAUCUUGGUGGUAGUAGCAAAUAUUCAAGUGAGAACCUUGAAGACUGAAGU